CUUCGGGUUUAGUGGCGGACGGGUGAGUAACGCGUGAGAAUCUUGCCCUCAAGGAGGGGGAUAACGGCUGGAAACGGCCGCUAAUACCCCAUAUGCCGAGAGGUGAAAUGAAUUUUCCCCUGAAGAUGAGCUCGCCCGUCUGAUUAACUAGUUGGGGUGGGAAAGGCUCACCCAAGGCAUCCAUCCAUAUCUGGUCUGAGAGGAUGAUCACCCCCCCUUGGGGUUGGAAACACGGCCCAAACCUCCCUUCGGGGGGCGAGAGUGGGGAUUUUUCUACUAUGGGGGCAAGCUUGAGUGAACAACCCCCGCGCGGGGGAAGAAGGCCCUCGGGGUUGAAAACCCUUUUUUUUAGAGAGAAAAAAAA
RNAcentral lists this ribosomal RNA (364 nucleotides) under uncultured cyanobacterium. RNAcentral's name for it is "partial 16S ribosomal RNA". It matches the Rfam family "Bacterial small subunit ribosomal RNA", at positions 84 to 454 of the family's 1533-position model. Lineage: Bacteria; Bacillati; Cyanobacteriota. The record is from RNAcentral.